Molecule: ribosomal RNA, 498 nt
Filed under: Triticum aestivum (bread wheat)
Lineage: Eukaryota; Viridiplantae; Streptophyta; Magnoliopsida; Poales; Poaceae
Description: partial small subunit ribosomal RNA
Source: RNAcentral
AUGGCCCCAGCCGUGAUGGCUUCUUCCGCCACCACCGUCGCGCCCUUCCAGGGGCUCAAGUCGACCGCGGGCCUCCCCGUCAGCCGCCGCUCCGGCAGCGCCGGCCUCAGCAGCGUCAGCAAUGGCGGAAGGAUCAGAUGCAUGCAGGUGUGGCCAAUUGAGGGCAUCAAGAAGUUCGAGACCCUGUCUUACUUGCCUCCCCUCUCCACGGAGGCCCUCCUGAAGCAGGUCGACUACUUGAUCCGCUCCAAGUGGGUGCCCUGCCUCGAGCACAACAGCUCCCCCGGGUACUAUGACGGUCGAUACUGGACAAUGUGGAAACUGCCUAUGUUCGGUUGCACCGACGCCACACAGGUGCUCAAUGAGGUGGAGGAGGUUAAGAAGGAGUACCCUGAUGCAUAUGUCCGCGUCAUCGGCUUCGACAACAUGCGCCAGGUGCAAUGCGUCAGCUUCAUUGCCUUCAGGCCACCAGGCUGCGAGGAAUCCGGCAAGGCCUAA